This 67-nucleotide transfer RNA is filed under the name Marmota monax (woodchuck). Its description in RNAcentral is "tRNA.Ala". It matches the Rfam family "tRNA", at positions 6 to 65 of the family's 71-position model. From Rfam's summary of the family: Transfer RNA (tRNA) molecules are approximately 80 nucleotides in length. Their secondary structure includes four short double-helical elements and three loops (D, anti-codon, and T loops). The record is from RNAcentral. Lineage: Eukaryota; Metazoa; Chordata; Mammalia; Rodentia; Sciuridae.
GGCUGUGGCUCAGCGGUAGAGCGCUCGCCUAGCAUGUGUGAGGCCCUGGGUUCGAUCCUCAGCACCA